This 467-nucleotide ribosomal RNA is filed under the name Asterionellopsis glacialis. RNAcentral describes it as "partial Bacterial small subunit ribosomal RNA". It matches the Rfam family "Bacterial small subunit ribosomal RNA", at positions 522 to 989 of the family's 1533-position model. Lineage: Eukaryota; Bacillariophyta; Plagiogrammaphyceae; Rhaphoneidales; Asterionellopsidaceae. The record is from RNAcentral.
AUUACGGAGGGGGUUAGCGUUGUUCGGAAUUACUGGGCGUAAAGCGCGCGUAGGCGGAUUAGUCAGUUAGAGGUGAAAUCCCAGGGCUCAACCCUGGAACUGCCUUUAAUACUGCUAGUCUUGAGUUCGAGAGAGGUGAGUGGAAUUCCGAGUGUAGAGGUGAAAUUCGUAGAUAUUCGGAGGAACACCAGUGGCGAAGGCGGCUCACUGGCUCGAUACUGACGCUGAGGUGCGAAAGUGUGGGGAGCAAACAGGAUUAGAUACCCUGGUAGUCCACACCGUAAACGAUGAAUGCCAGUCGUCGGCAAGCAUGCUUGUCGGUGACACACCUAACGGAUUAAGCAUUCCGCCUGGGGAGUACGGUCGCAAGAUUAAAACUCAAAGAAAUUGACGGGGCCCCGCACAAGCGGCGGAGCAUGCGGAUUAAUUCGAUGCAACGCGUAGAACCUUACCUGGGUUUGACAUGG